This 198-nucleotide unclassified non-coding RNA is filed under the name uncultured fungus. RNAcentral's name for it is "sequence contains ITS1". Lineage: Eukaryota; Fungi. The record is from RNAcentral.
GUAUAGAUUUUAUAUAGUCACAACAUUCUAUUAACAUACAUUGGGGUAAAUGAAACGACAUAGACCUGAAAAGGUCUACAAAAGGUGCACAGGUGGAGAUAUAAAAAUGACAAGGCGUGCACAUGCUCCCUAGAGAACCAGCAACAACCCAUCAGGUUUAUUUCAAUAAUGAUCCUUCCGCAGGUUCACCUACGGAAA